CCUACGGGAGGCAGCAGUGAGGAAUAUUGGUCAAUGGACGAGAGUCUGAACCAGCCAAGUAGCGUGAAGGAUGACUGCCCUAUGGGUUGUAAACUUCUUUUAUAUGGGAAUAAAACAGGGUAUGCAUACCCUCUUGUAUGUACCAUAUGAAUAAGGAUCGGCUAACUCCUUGCCAGCAGCCGCGGUAAUCCGGAGGAUCCGAGCGUUAUCCGGAUUUAUUGGGUUUAAAGGGAGCGUAGGUGGAUUGUUAAGUCAGGUGUGAAAGUUUGCGGCUCAACCGUAAAAUUGCAGUUGAAACUGGCAGUCUGGAGUACGGUAGAGGUGGGCGGAAUUCGUGGUGUAGCGGUGAAAUGCUUAGAUAUCACGAAGAACUCCGAUUGCGAAGGCAGCUCACUGGACUGCAACUGACACUGAUGCUCGAAAGUGUGGGUAUCAAACAGGAUUAGAUACCCCUGUAGUC
RNAcentral lists this ribosomal RNA (460 nucleotides) under uncultured bacterium. RNAcentral describes it as "partial 16S ribosomal RNA". It matches the Rfam family "Bacterial small subunit ribosomal RNA", at positions 338 to 795 of the family's 1533-position model. The record is from RNAcentral.